UGGGGAAUAUUGCACAAUGGAGGGAACUCUGAUGCAGCGACGCCGCGUGAGUGAUGAAGGACUUCGUUUCGUAAAACUCUGUUCUAUGGGAAGAAAAGGACUGUACCAUAGGAGAAAGCUCCGGCUAAAUACGUGCCAGCAGCCGCGGUAAUACGUAUGGAGCGAGCGUUGUCCGGAAUUAUUGGGCGUAAAGGGUGCGCAGGCGGCUUUACAAGUUGGAUGUGAAAUAUUGUGGCUCAACCACAAACGUGCAUCCAAAACUGCAAAGCUUGAGUUAAGGAGAGGUAAGUGGAAUUCCUGGUGUAGCGGUGGAAUGCGUAGAUAUCAGGAGGAAUACCGGUGGCGAAGGCGACUUGCUGGACUUAAACUGACGCUCAGGCACGAAAGCGUGGGGAGCAAACAGG
Molecule: ribosomal RNA, 404 nt
Filed under: Fusobacteriota bacterium
Lineage: Bacteria; Fusobacteriati; Fusobacteriota
Description: Fusobacteria bacterium partial 16S ribosomal RNA
Rfam family: Bacterial small subunit ribosomal RNA
Source: RNAcentral